This 527-nucleotide ribosomal RNA is filed under the name uncultured Entrophosporaceae. RNAcentral's name for it is "SSU rRNA". It matches the Rfam family "Eukaryotic small subunit ribosomal RNA", at positions 569 to 1092 of the family's 1831-position model. The record is from RNAcentral. Lineage: Eukaryota; Fungi; Glomeromycota; Glomeromycetes; Entrophosporales; Entrophosporaceae.
AGCAGCCGCGGUAAUUCCAGCUCCAAUAGCGUAUAUUAAAGUUGUUGCAGUUAAAAAGCUCGUAGUUGAAUUUCGGGAUUGACACAUCGGUCGUGCCUUAAGGGGUAUGAACUGGUGUAGUCAAUUUCUCACCUUCUGGAGAACCGCGAUGUCCUUAAUUGGGUGCCGCGGGGAACCAGGACCUUUACUUUGAAAAAAUUAGAGUGUUUAAAGCAGGCAUUUUGCUUGAAUACAUUAGCAUGGAAUAAUAAAAUAGGACGGAUGAUUCUAUUUUGUUGGUUUCUAGGACCACCGUAAUGAUUAAUAGGGAUAGUUGGGGGCAUUAGUAUUCAAUUGUCAGAGGUGAAAUUCUUGGAUUUAUUGAAGACUAACUACUGCGAAAGCAUUUGCCAAGGAUGUUUUCAUUAAUCAAGAACGAAAGUUAGGGGAUCGAAGACGAUCAGAUACCGUCGUAGUCUUAACCAUAAACUAUGCCGACUAGGAAUCAGACGAUGUUAAUUUUUUAAUGACUCGUUUGGCACCUUACG